RNAcentral lists this ribosomal RNA (483 nucleotides) under uncultured bacterium. RNAcentral's name for it is "partial 16S ribosomal RNA". It matches the Rfam family "Bacterial small subunit ribosomal RNA", at positions 30 to 507 of the family's 1533-position model. The record is from RNAcentral.
UUGAACGCUGGCGGCAGGCCUAACACAUGCAAGUCGAGCGGAUGAAGGGAGCUUGCUCCUGGAUUCAGCGGCGGACGGGUGAGUAAUGCCUAGGAAUCUGCCUGGUAGUGGGGGAUAACGUCCGGAAACGGGCGCUAAUACCGCAUACGUCCUGAGGGAGAAAGUGGGGGAUCUUCGGACCUCACGCUAUCAGAUGAGCCUAGGUCGGAUUAGCUAGUUGGUGGGGUAAAGGCCUACCAAGGCGACGAUCCGUAACUGGUCUGAGAGGACGAUCAGUCACACUGGAACUGAGACACGGUCCAGACUCCUACGGGAGGCAGCAGUGGGGAAUAUUGGACAAUGGGCGAAAGCCUGAUCCAGCCAUGCCGCGUGUGUGAAGAAGGUCUUCGGAUUGUAAAGCACUUUAAGUUGGGAGGAAGGGCAGUAAGUUAAUACCUUGCUGUUUUGACGUUACCAACAGAAUAAGCACCGGCUAACUUCGUG